ACAGCAAAACUGGAAAAGUUGCCACAGCGUCUUUACAUCGUCUUUGUCAGAAGUGAGGUUAGUUUCUAUGUUUGUAAAUGAAUCUGGGGGCAUCGUUUGUGCAAAGUGUGAAACCUCCCCCCACUCAAGUGCUUCCAUUACCAGAGGCGCGACUACUGGAUGCUCUAUGUACCCAUCCAAAUUUAGAAGAGAUAGUCAUGAAGAUUCAAAAUGACUCUUGAAGAAUUCGCACGGUAAAGGAGCCAUAGUUGAUUAUAAAGUGUGCAAAAUGAGUAUUGGUACAGUGCGUAACUGAAGUUAUUAUGUGAUUAGAAAGGAAUGAUAAAUAGAUGUGAACCAUACUGAGACUGAAUAACGAAAAUUCCAUUCACAUUCCAUUCCCCCACAUUUUCUGCCACGUAUUUAAUGAUAACGACUUGCUAGAGUGUCAUACCGAUCCGUUUAUCCUUGAAUGUUGAUUGUGAUGACGGAGUGACCUGUAGCGUAGCCCAAUCUCUAGGUUAGGACAGAAGGUUGCGUGUUUUCAGAUUGAUAAUGUGCACGUCAAAACAUUGGAAAGCACUGAUCUUACAGAUACAAGUCGAAAUUGGGAAUAUUAGUAAUGCAAUAUUUUAAAAUACAGACAAAGCCUGAAGAGUGGUGCACUAAGCUACUAAGAGCCCUUCGAAGAAGUACAAGAAGAAGAAUCAGAAGAAGAAGAAGUAGAAGAACAUGAAAAAAAGAGGUUCACAGGAAGAAGUACAAAAUUCAGCAAGAUGGCACAUAGCUUGAAUGUUAAAGGCUACUCGCAACUCCUAGUUACGGCUCAAAUUGCAGCCAGAUUGUAUAAAGUUGUUAUUGUGACAUGUCUAACUUCUCAGUCACUGUGAUUUAUAAUAGAUACACAAUUUCUUGCCCACCGCCAAUAAAUAUUUAAUUGGUAGCUGAA
Long non-coding RNA from Schistocerca americana (American grasshopper), 928 nucleotides. RefSeq lists it as uncharacterized. The record is from RefSeq and is a predicted model, not a curated record. The transcript is spliced from 3 exons. Lineage: Eukaryota; Metazoa; Arthropoda; Insecta; Orthoptera; Acrididae.